Molecule: non-coding RNA, 1170 nt
Organism: Microcebus murinus (gray mouse lemur)
Lineage: Eukaryota; Metazoa; Chordata; Mammalia; Primates; Cheirogaleidae
Source: RefSeq, a predicted model, not a curated record
AAGUCACUUUUGUCCCCUGUGUGGGGGUGGGACUAUCUCAUCAUCUCAUUUUUCUACCUCUGGAUGGUGAGCUGCUUCUGUCUUGAAACUGUUCCCUCCUCUGCCACAAUUCCUAGGACAUCUCUCUCAGUGCCUUCAAUAUCGUUUGGAAUUCGUUGUUAUCUCGGGCAACUUUCAACUGGCUCCGCCUAAGAAUUCCUCAUUGGACUCGUUAAGAAUUCCUCAUUGGACUCGUUAAGAAUUUGAAACCUUUGGGGCUCACUGAUCUUCAACCUAAAUGCUUAGCUUAGUCUUCUACUGCAAUACAGCCCGGCCACAAUAUACAUUAGGUAUCCAUGGGUACAUCAAGGUCUUUAAUAACUGAGAUGAUAAAAGGAGAGAGGAGAAAAGGCAAAGGGACCCCAGCAUCAGGCUCCAGAGCAGAAGGAAGCCUUUCAAAUGGUGGCUACCACGAUGGGAGAAAUCUCUUAGAGAUGGGGAUACUCUGGAGGCUCAGGCAAGAAGACAUCUGUCCAAACAAUAGCCUGCUCCUAGAAGUGUGCCCUGCUUUAACUGCAAUCAGCUAGGGCACUGGAGCAAGGGGUGCCCCAGGCAUUGGGUUCCACCAGGGCCAUGCUCCAACUGUAUAAAGCAAGAACACCGGAAGAGUGAGUGCCCCCCUUUUAAGAAGGGAGAUUGCACUCGCCUUCCAGAUCCAGCAGAGCCCCCUGCACUGGCCCCCUGCAUACCCACAGACCUUCUGGGACUGCUCCCGUCUGACUGAUGGGCCCUGGCUCUGGAUUUGACUCCACUUUGCUACAUUGAAAUGGCCGAGUCAAGGGUAACAGUAGCAGCAUCUGCUUUUACAGAGUUCCUGAGAAAACAGCAGGAGGACGAGCUACAGCCUCAAUCAUAUCUUGAGGGUGGAGUCACAUCUCCUGUGAUAAUUCCUUCUCCAAGGAAAGACAGAGGAGCCAACUUUGGAACUUCGACCUCCUCACGGUUUUUGUUAUCUACUGCUGCCAAGAGAAAAGGAGCAGAUACAGCAAUUUCUCCACUGUACUCUGCCAUUUUACAACCCCCUUAAAAAACCUCAAUAGCUGGUUUUGGGGCCAACUCAUUCUUUCCUUCUACCUAGGUGCUGUCCUUCUCCCUACUCCCAGGGACAAAUAAAUAAACUUUUUAUUUCUA